AUCUAAGUAGUUUAAAUUAAAAAUUUUAAUUUGUGGUAUUAAAGAUAUGAUAAUUUUCAUCUUAGAUU
Molecule: transfer RNA, 68 nt
Filed under: Tetraponera aethiops
Lineage: Eukaryota; Metazoa; Arthropoda; Insecta; Hymenoptera; Formicidae
Description: tRNA-His
Source: RNAcentral